This 470-nucleotide ribosomal RNA is filed under the name uncultured Acidobacteriota bacterium. RNAcentral describes it as "uncultured Acidobacteria bacterium partial 16S ribosomal RNA". It matches the Rfam family "Bacterial small subunit ribosomal RNA", at positions 335 to 794 of the family's 1533-position model. The record is from RNAcentral. Lineage: Bacteria; Pseudomonadati; Acidobacteriota.
UUCUUUACGGGAGCCACCAGUACGGAAUGUUUGACAAUGGGGGCAUGCUUGAUCUAGCAACGCCGCGUGGGGGAGGAAGAUCUUCGGGGGGUAGACUCCUUUCGCGCGGGAAGAACAUCUCUCCGCCAAACAGUCGCGGCGGAGUUGCCGGUACCGUCAGAGGAAGCCCCGCCUAAUUCUGUGCCACCACCCGCGGUAAUACAGAGGGGGCAAGCCUUUUUCGGAUUUUUUGGGGGUAAAGGGGUCGUAGGCGGGCUUUCAAUUCGGAGGUGAAAUCCCACGGUUCAACCGUGGAACUGCGUUGGAAACUGCCGGGCUGGAGUCCGGAAGAGGGAAGUGGAAUUCCCGGUGUAGCGGUGAAAUGCGUGGAUUUCGGGAGGAACCCCGGUGGGGAAGGGGGCUUCCUGGCCCAGUACUGACGUUGAGGAGCGAAAGCCAGGGGAGCAACCGGGGAGAGAAACCCCCCUUGU